This 1431-nucleotide long non-coding RNA is filed under the name Mus musculus (house mouse). RNAcentral describes it as "Mir100 Mirlet7a-2 Mir125b-1 cluster host gene". The record is from RNAcentral. Lineage: Eukaryota; Metazoa; Chordata; Mammalia; Rodentia; Muridae.
GGCAUAUGCUCGCGCCUCGGUGUGAAGGAGCUCUCGCCUGUGUUUCUUGCUAUCCCCAUCUAAAUGCUGGAGCGAGGAGUUAAAUUAUUCCAGAAGGCCCGCCAGGGUCUGAUUUGCCACUGUCUGCUUCCUCGUUGCCUUUGAAUGGGACCCUUGAUCCAAGGCUUUCAGAGACCAGCCGGUGCUGAUGGGGGUCCGUGACUUGGCGGUGGCGCCUGUUUGCUCCUUCUCUGUCUCGAGCAUGGUUUUCUAUCCUGCCGGGGAGGGCGAGAGCGCUGGGCAGAGGUGGCACCUGACCCGCUAGAACUCCGAUGUCACUGCUGUGGCUGUUACUCCCCUCGGCAAGAGUCAAGGCGCACGCAGGACGUGAAUCCUGCAAUGGACUGACCUCAUCUUCCCGAGGCUGUGAUGUUUCAGGAGAGUUUCACUAUUGCUGACCAACUGAGACCACCAGGAGCUCCUAAGUGCAAAGAAUGGCUACAUCUUUUCUUCUGGAUACCACCAGAUCAUUCCAGCCACCUGCCUUUGUGGUGUCUCCAGACAAGGGCUGACAACCAUCGAAGCAUCGAAACCCUAAGGCUACUUGGAGAGAAGAAGACUGUCCCUGGAGAAGGCGUGGGUGACUGAUUUUUAAGAAAUCGGCAACACGGAAGCUGAUUAUAAAAUAUUCAUAAGAAGCUGGCUUUUACAGGUUAAUCCCCAGGACAACAUUGCUUUGAAAGAAAAAAUGUGUGAGCCAUCUUGAAGAUUUGGACUCCAGAGGCCUCUAUGUGUCCUGCCUCUGCUAGACCCAGACAACAGACUCAAGGUGAUAGAUGUUCACAGAGAAAGUAGAAGAAGAUGGACAAUGUCUAUACGCCAUCUUCAGUUGGUAACGCUGUGGCAGUUAGCAUAACCAGUGCUAGGCAAGAUUCAACCGCACUGGCUGCGGUAUGCGUGGCCAACCGGAGUGAGGACAAAUCCCAUUCCGUCUGAAGACUGUCUCCUGCCAGAGAUCAAAUGCAGCUCGCACAUACAUGACACCAAGCAGAAGCAAGUACUAUUCCAUUACAAAUGAAGCAGAGAGAGCCAGAAUUAUUUGGUCAGCUUGGUAUUCAAAAUGGUUGAGAUUCUGACCUUCCCACUCCUUCCUUAAUUAUCUUGAUAAUUUUGGCAAGAGGAGGUUUGUGGGGUGGAGAGGGAUAAUUCUGAAAGAAUUAAAUAAUUAUAGCAGUCAGGAAAUCCAUCCAGGGUUUUAUAAAUUCCUGCAUAAUAGUUCAAAAUCUCUUGAUUUUUCAUCGUGUAUAAGCUAAAUUCAUUAGCACAUACCUUAGAUCAUCUGUUAGAUGCCUAGCAGUGUAAAAACACAGGGCCUGUGAAGUGUUUUUUUUGGUUUUGUUUUGUUUUUAAUCUUGACUUUUACAGAAUAAAAACUACCACCACCAACAACAA